GUGGGGAAUUUUGGACAAUGGGCGCAAGCCUGAUCCAGCAAUGCCGCGUGCAGGAAGAAGGCCUUCGGGUUGUAAACUGCUUUUGUACGGAACGAAACGGUCCUGGUUAAUACCUGGGGCUAAUGACGGUACCGUAAGAAUAAGCACCGGCUAACUACGUGCCAGCAGCCGCGGUAAUACGUAGGGUGCGAGCGUUAAUCGGAAUUACUGGGCGUAAAGCGUGCGCAGGCGGUGCUGUAAGACAGGCGUGAAAUCCCCGGGCUCAACCUGGGAAUUGCGCUUGUGACUGCAGUGCUGGAGUACUGCAGAGGGGGAUGGAAUUCCGCGUGUAGCAGUGAAAUGCGUAGAUAUGCGGAGGAACACCGAUGGCGAAGGCAGUCCCCUGGGCCUGUACUGACGCUCAUGCACGAAAGCGUGGGGAGCAAACAGGAUUAGAUACCCCGGUAGUCC
This 450-nucleotide ribosomal RNA is filed under the name uncultured bacterium. RNAcentral's name for it is "partial 16S ribosomal RNA". It matches the Rfam family "Bacterial small subunit ribosomal RNA", at positions 354 to 796 of the family's 1533-position model. The record is from RNAcentral.